This 983-nucleotide ribosomal RNA is filed under the name Klebsiella pneumoniae. RNAcentral's name for it is "bacterial SSU rRNA". It matches the Rfam family "Bacterial small subunit ribosomal RNA", at positions 56 to 1031 of the family's 1533-position model. Lineage: Bacteria; Pseudomonadati; Pseudomonadota; Gammaproteobacteria; Enterobacterales; Enterobacteriaceae. The record is from RNAcentral.
UGCAGUCGAGCGGUAGCACAGAGAGCUUGCUCUCGGGUGACGAGCGGCGGACGGGUGAGUAAUGUCUGGGAAACUGCCUGAUGGAGGGGGAUAACUACUGGAAACGGUAGCUAAUACCGCAUAAUGUCGCAAGACCAAAGUGGGGGACCUUCGGGCCUCAUGCCAUCAGAUGUGCCCAGAUGGGAUUAGCUAGUAGGUGGGGUAACGGCUCACCUAGGCGACGAUCCCUAGCUGGUCUGAGAGGAUGACCAGCCACACUGGAACUGAGACACGGUCCAGACUCCUACGGGAGGCAGCAGUGGGGAAUAUUGCACAAUGGGCGCAAGCCUGAUGCAGCCAUGCCGCGUGUGUGAAGAAGGCCUUCGGGUUGUAAAGCACUUUCAGCGGGGAGGAAGGCGAUAAGGUUAAUAACCUUGUCGAUUGACGUUACCCGCAGAAGAAGCACCGGCUAACUCCGUGCCAGCAGCCGCGGUAAUACGGAGGGUGCAAGCGUUAAUCGGAAUUACUGGGCGUAAAGCGCACGCAGGCGGUCUGUCAAGUCGGAUGUGAAAUCCCCGGGCUCAACCUGGGAACUGCAUUCGAAACUGGCAGGCUAGAGUCUUGUAGAGGGGGGUAGAAUUCCAGGUGUAGCGGUGAAAUGCGUAGAGAUCUGGAGGAAUACCGGUGGCGAAGGCGGCCCCCUGGACAAAGACUGACGCUCAGGUGCGAAAGCGUGGGGAGCAAACAGGAUUAGAUACCCUGGUAGUCCACGCCGUAAACGAUGUCGAUUUGGAGGUUGUGCCCUUGAGGCGUGGCUUCCGGAGCUAACGCGUUAAAUCGACCGCCUGGGGAGUACGGCCGCAAGGUUAAAACUCAAAUGAAUUGACGGGGGCCCGCACAAGCGGUGGAGCAUGUGGUUUAAUUCGAUGCAACGCGAAGAACCUUACCUGGUCUUGACAUCCACAGAACUUUCCAGAGAUGGAUUGGUGCCUUCGGGAACUGUG